CACCACAGCCGCAGCCUCUUCUUCCUCCCCUACUCUGUUUCCUCUCCUUCUCUUCCAGCUGCAGCUGCCAUUGCCGUAGCUGCCUCCCAUUCUCCUCUUCCUCUCUUCUUCCCUUUUCCUUUCUCUUCUUCUUCCUUUCCUUCUCUUCUUUCCCAGCUGCAUUGCCGCUGCCUCUUCUUCCUCCCUUGCUCAUCUUCCUCUCCUUCUUCUCUUCCAACUGCAGCUGCCAUCGCCACAGCCGCAGCCCCUUCUUCCCCUUCUCUUCUUCCUCUCCUUCCCUUCUUCCUUCCUCUUCCUCUUUCCCUGCCAUAGCUGUAGCUGCCACAGCUGCAGCCACAGCUGCUUCUUUCCCUUCUCCUCUUCCUUCUCCUUCCUUUCUUCUU
RNAcentral lists this long non-coding RNA (383 nucleotides) under Musa acuminata (dwarf banana). RNAcentral's name for it is "long non-coding RNA (MACU_LNC009889)". Lineage: Eukaryota; Viridiplantae; Streptophyta; Magnoliopsida; Zingiberales; Musaceae. The record is from RNAcentral.